RNAcentral lists this ribosomal RNA (1369 nucleotides) under unidentified marine bacterioplankton. RNAcentral's name for it is "bacterial SSU rRNA". It matches the Rfam family "Bacterial small subunit ribosomal RNA", at positions 9 to 1371 of the family's 1533-position model. The record is from RNAcentral.
GAGUUUGAUCAUGGCUCAGGAUGAACGCUAGCGGCAGGCCUAACACAUGCAAGUCGAGGGGUAACAUAGGAAAGCUUGCUUUUCUGAUGACGACCGGCGCACGGGUGCGUAACGCGUAUACAACCUACCUUUUAGCGGGGAAUAGCCCAGGGAAACUUGGAUUAAUGCCCCAUAGUAUAUAGACUUCUCCUGAAGUUCAUAUUAAACAUUUAUGGCUAUUAGAUGGGUAUGCGUCCUAUUAGUUAGUUGGUAAGGUAACGGCUUACCAAGGCAGCGAUAGGUAGGGGUCCUGAGAGGGAGAUCCCCCACACUGGUACUGAGACACGGACCAGACUCCUACGGGAGGCAGCAGUGAGGAAUAUUGGACAAUGGGCGAGAGCCUGAUCCAGCCAUGCCGCGUGCAGGAAGACUGCCCUAUGGGUUGUAAACUGCUUUUACAGAGGAAGAACCACCCCCACGUGUGGGGGUUUGACGGUACUCUGCGAAUAAGGAUCGGCUAACUCCGUGCCAGCAGCCGCGGUAAUACGGAGGAUCCAAGCGUUAUCCGGAAUCAUUGGGUUUAAAGGGUCCGUAGGCGGGCAGUUAAGUCAGUGGUGAAAGUCUUCCGCUCAACGGGAGAACUGCCAUUGAUACUGAUUGUCUUGAGUUAUUAUGAAGUGGUUAGAAUGAGUAGUGUAGCGGUGAAAUGCAUAGAUAUUACUCAGAAUACCGAUUGCGAAGGCAGAUCACUAAUAAUAUACUGACGCUGAUGGACGAAAGCGUAGGUAGCGAACAGGAUUAGAUACCCUGGUAGUCUACGCCGUAAACGAUGGUUACUAGCUGUUCGGCCCAAUUGAGGGCUGAGUGGUUAAGCGAAAGUGAUAAGUAACCCACCUGGGGAGUACGUUCGCAAGAAUGAAACUCAAAGGAAUUGACGGGGGCCCGCACAAGCGGUGGAGCAUGUGGUUUAAUUCGAUGAUACGCGAGGAACCUUACCAGGGCUUAAAUGUAGUCUGACAGGUCUGGAAACAGACUUUUCUUCGGACAGAUUACAAGGUGCUGCAUGGUUGUCGUCAGCUCGUGCCGUGAGGUGUCAGGUUAAGUCCUAUAACGAGCGCAACCCCUGUGGUUAGUUGCCAGCGAGUAAUGUCGGGAACUCUAGCCAGACUGCCGGUGCAAACCGCGAGGAAGGUGGGGAUGACGUCAAAUCAUCACGGCCCUUACGUCCUGGGCCACACACGUGCUACAAUGGUAGGGACAGAGAGCAGCCACUUCGCGAGAAGGAGCGAAUCUACAAACCCUAUCACAGUUCGGAUCGCAGUCUGCAACUCGACUGCGUGAAGCUGGAAUCGCUAGUAAUCGCAUAUCAGCCAUGAUGCGGUGAAUACGU